ACGGUACCCGCAGAAUAAGCCCCGGCUAACUUCGUGCCAGCAGCCGCGGUAAUACGAAGGGGGCUAGCGUUGUUCGGAAUCACUGGGCGUAAAGCGCACGUAGGCGGAUUUGCCAGUCAGGGGUGAAAUCCCGGGGCUCAACCUCGGAACUGCCUUUGAUACAGCAAGUCUGGAGUCCGGAAGAGGUGGGUGGAAUUCCUAGUGUAGAGGUGAAAUUCGUAGAUAUUAGGAAGAGCACCAGUGGCGAAGGCGGGUUGCUGGGCUGACACUGACGCUGAGGCGCGAAAGCUAGGGGAGCGAACGGGAUUAGAUACCCCGGUAGUCCUAGCCUUAAACGAUGAAUGCUUGGUGUCUCGGGUUUUAUACUCCCGAGGUG
This 376-nucleotide ribosomal RNA is filed under the name uncultured Hyphomicrobiaceae bacterium. RNAcentral's name for it is "bacterial SSU rRNA". It matches the Rfam family "Bacterial small subunit ribosomal RNA", at positions 472 to 845 of the family's 1533-position model. Lineage: Bacteria; Pseudomonadati; Pseudomonadota; Alphaproteobacteria; Hyphomicrobiales; Hyphomicrobiaceae. The record is from RNAcentral.